GACGAACGCUGGCGGCGUGCCUAAUACAUGCAAGUCGAGCGCAGGAAAUCAUCCGAACCCUUCGGGGGGACGUUGAUGGAAUGAGCGGCGGACGGGUGAGUAACACGUAAAGAACCUGCCCUCAGGUCUGGGAUAACCACGAGAAAUCGGGGCUAAUACCGGAUGGGUCAUCGGACCGCAUGGUCCGAGGAUGAAAGGCGCUUCGGCGGCGCCUGGGGAUGGCUUUGCGGUGCAUUAGCUAGUUGGUGGGGUAAUGGCCCACCAAGGCGACGAUGCAUAGCCGACCUGGGAGGGUGAUCGGCCACACUGGGACUGAGACACGGCCCAGACUCCUACGGGAGGCAGCAGUAGGGAAUCUUCCACAAUGGACGAAAGUCUAAUGGAGCAACGCCGCGUGAACGAUGAAGGCCUUCGGGUCGUAAAGUUCUGUUGUAAGGGAAGAACAAGUGCCGCAGGCAAUGGCGGCACCUUGACGGUACCUUGCGAGAAAGCCACGGCUAACUACGUGCCAGCCGCCGCGGUAA
RNAcentral lists this ribosomal RNA (524 nucleotides) under uncultured bacterium. Its description in RNAcentral is "partial 16S ribosomal RNA". It matches the Rfam family "Bacterial small subunit ribosomal RNA", at positions 28 to 523 of the family's 1533-position model. The record is from RNAcentral.